CACGUGACAUCCGGCCGCCGCGCCCACACAACGGCGCGCCGCUGAGGACAAAAACAAAACGUCACGGGAAAAGUCGCAACGCGCCAACGACCAAGCCCCCUCACCACCGGGAGACAGGAAGGCAGCGCGAGGAUGUCAAGUUAAAGGCAAAAUACUGCGGAUGCUGGAAAUCUGAAGCAGAAGGUGCUGGAAAAUACUCAGCAGGAUCUUCACCCAGGAGUAAUGAACAAAGCAGCUACCUGUACCAGGAUGCUGCACGACCCAGAGGGACGGUGUUCUCAAAGCACUGCUGGAAUUGCCCUGCUCAGCGGUAUGGGAGCUGCUGUCAGCAAUUUGGGCUUCAGUUAACUGGACGAGGUACCAUGCCCUAAGAGGGCCUUGGUGACCAUGGACCUCCAUAUUAAUCUUGCUCUACAGGCACGGAUCAUCUUCGUUGGCGGUUCAUUCAUCCAGUUUGUGAGGCUCUUCAGAAAGAUCAUUCUUUGUCCAUCUCGAUCUCUUUUACCAUCGAUCUUUCCCAUCAGCAUCAGGCUUUCUAAAUCAUGAUUUCUUAUUACCUGCCCCAGAAAUUCCAACUAUUUCCUCCGGAUCUUGGGUCAGCAGAGCUAUUUUGGUCUUGGAUUUUAUGUGGCAAAUCGCCAAAGUGUGUCUGGUACAGAGUGUAUAGUUCCCUUUUUAAUAAA
Molecule: long non-coding RNA, 683 nt
Organism: Carcharodon carcharias (great white shark)
Lineage: Eukaryota; Metazoa; Chordata; Chondrichthyes; Lamniformes; Lamnidae
Exons: 3
Source: RefSeq, a predicted model, not a curated record